CCUACGGGAGGCAGCAGUGGGGAAUUUUGGACAAUGGGGGCAACCCUGAUCCAGCCAUGCCGCGUGAGUGAAGAAGGCCUUCGGGUUGUAAAGCUCUUUCGGCCGGAACGAAAUCGCGCACGUGAAUAACGUGCGUGGAUGACGGUACCGGAGUAAGAAGCACCGGCUAACUACGUGCCAGCAGCCGCGGUAAUACGUAGGGUGCGAGCGUUAAUCGGAAUUACUGGGCGUAAAGCGUGCGCAGGCGGUUCGCUAAGUCAGACGUGAAAGCCCCGGGCUUAACCUGGGAACGGCGUUUGAAACUGGCGGGCUCGAGUACGGCAGAGGGGGGUGGAAUUCCACGUGUAGCAGUGAAAUGCGUAGAUAUGUGGAGGAACACCGAUGGCGAAGGCAGCCCCCUGGGCCGAUACUGACGCUCAUGCACGAAAGCGUGGGGAGCAAACAGGAUUAGAUACCCUGGUAGUCCACGCCCUAAACUAUGUCAACUAGUUGUCGGGGAAGCAAUUCCUUGGUAACGCAGCUAACGCGUGAAGUUGACCGCCUGGGGAUACGGUCGCAAGAUUAAAACUCAAAGAGUAGUACGCGNGAGAGAGCGACGAGACGACGACGGAGGAGAG
This 617-nucleotide ribosomal RNA is filed under the name uncultured bacterium. Its description in RNAcentral is "bacterial SSU rRNA". It matches the Rfam family "Bacterial small subunit ribosomal RNA", at positions 338 to 949 of the family's 1533-position model. The record is from RNAcentral.